AAUAUUGGACAAUGGGCGAAAGCCUGAUCCAGCUAUGCCGCGUGUGUUAAGGGGCUCCUCGGAUUGUAAAGCACUUUAAGUUGGGAGGGUGGGUUGUAGAUUAAUACUGUGCAAUUUUGACGUUAUCAACAUAAUAAGCACCUGCUAACUGCGUGCCAUCAACCGUGGUAACACGGAGGGUGCAAGCGUUCAUCGGAAUUACUGGGCGUAAAGCGAGCGUAGGUGGUUUGUCAAGUUGGAAGUGAAAGCCCCGGGCUCAACCUGGGAACUGCUUUCAAAACUGGCAAGCUAGAGUAUGGCAGAGGGUGGUGGAAUUUCCUGUGUAGCGGUGAAAUGCGUAGAUAUAGGAAGGAACAUCAGUGGCGAAGGCGACCACCUGGGCUAAUACUGACACUGAGGUGCGAAAGCGUGGGGAGCAAACAGG
RNAcentral lists this ribosomal RNA (424 nucleotides) under uncultured bacterium. RNAcentral describes it as "partial 16S ribosomal RNA". It matches the Rfam family "Bacterial small subunit ribosomal RNA", at positions 360 to 776 of the family's 1533-position model. The record is from RNAcentral.